CAGGAACCUGGGUCUCCGACACCACAGAGGCACCUGCCCUCACAGCCCUGGGCUCCAACUGCACUGGGAAGGGACACGUCAUUCCUGUGAGAAAAACUGGCCUAAUACAGAGGUAUGGUCAUGGAAACUUAGGACUGGGAGAGACCAAGGCUGGUCCCCACCCAACCUCAGCCACUGAGCAGGACACGGGGCACAGGGCAGGGCUUCCUGUUCCUCAGGCAUCUUCCUACUGGGCAUCCUGCUUUCGGCAUAUGUACCGAUACAAGUGCCUCGUGCCCCUUCCUGAAUCACACCUCCCCCCCCGCCCCACUCCCCCCACCUCAGUGAGGCGCCUGGCCCCUGGGAGGUGCUACACGGCCGUCCAACAAACGACAGUGACCUGUGCACAGCAAAGUGUGAUGGGACUGAAAAGCUCACACCAGCGAAAGCUGGAGGCUGAGCUGCACACGUUACUUGGCUUUGCUGCCUUUACCAUAUCCUGGUGACUUGAAGCAGGAGGUCAGUGGCUCGAAGAUAGCCCCAGUGGGAUUGGCCGUCUCUCGUUGAGGCAACUGAUCCUUCACUUCCUGCAGACCACCUCUCUUUGUGAACCUCUCCUACCGCAGACGCCGCGACCCGGAGCUUCUCCUCUCCUCCUCACAACCGCGCCUCUUCCUGGCCUCACACCUCCUCGGAGAGUGAGUCCCAAAGAGCCCCACGCUCAGCUGGAACUUGAGCUUCUAAGCUGAAGACCUCCUAGGGGAUCUCAGACCAGACCGACUUGAUCUAGUGACCGAGAACCUCCGAAGCUGAUGGUAUCAUAAAAAGC
Molecule: long non-coding RNA, 808 nt
Organism: Physeter macrocephalus (sperm whale)
Lineage: Eukaryota; Metazoa; Chordata; Mammalia; Artiodactyla; Physeteridae
Exons: 3
Source: RefSeq, a predicted model, not a curated record